GAGGGUGUAGCUCGGGUAGAGCGCGUGCUUCGCAUGCAUGAGGCCCUGGGUUCACUCCCCAGUGCUGCCA
This 70-nucleotide transfer RNA is filed under the name Camelus dromedarius (Arabian camel). It matches the Rfam family "tRNA". From Rfam's summary of the family: Transfer RNA (tRNA) molecules are approximately 80 nucleotides in length. Their secondary structure includes four short double-helical elements and three loops (D, anti-codon, and T loops). RNAcentral also lists the same sequence under 1 other name. The record is from Rfam by way of RNAcentral. Lineage: Eukaryota; Metazoa; Chordata; Mammalia; Artiodactyla; Camelidae.